Long non-coding RNA from Gavialis gangeticus (Gharial), 1244 nucleotides. RefSeq lists it as uncharacterized. Lineage: Eukaryota; Metazoa; Chordata; Crocodylia; Gavialidae. The transcript is spliced from 2 exons. The record is from RefSeq and is a predicted model, not a curated record.
AGAAGGAUGUUAAUUACGAAUAUAUGCGUGUAUCUGUAAGCUCGUUCUGAAGGAUAAAUUGGGGGGGGGGGGAAUGUAGGGUAAAACCAAAAUAGAGGAAUAAAACCAGAAUUUACCCAGAACUUGGUAACAGAUUCUAAUAGAAAUUGAGGUAGGCUUCAGUUCAGUCAAGUUCCUGAUUCACCACAGUAGAUGCAUCUGCCAACAAUGAUAUGCCAAAACUGAGUCUUCACCUGGUUUGAGAACUUAGACAAAUGUUAGAAACCCCCCUGCACCCUUGUUACAUUGUUCUUGCAGUUUUGCUGUUUAAACCUAUCACAAGUGUUUUCCCACAAAAUGCAUAGGAAGUCACUAAACAUGGGUGCUCCCUAUUCUUUUAUUACUGACUUGUUAGGGUACAUUUGUAGGAUAUCUUGAGUACCUGAGAUGGUGGAACAUUCUGUGGGUUGUCAGUUCCAGUAAUAAGAAAAUUAGGUUGGCUAUGCUUUUUCUUGGUCCUGUGUUCUGCAGUUACUUUUUGACCUGUGCUGGUUUGAAUUAGUCACAUUCCAUGCCUUUUCAUGUUCACACUGAGACCCCCAAUACUUGAACUCUUAUCCAACUGCAUUUCAAAUGGAAUUAAAACUUUUGUCUUACUUAAUCAAAUGAGUUACUAGUGAGAUGUAUUCAUGCUUAUUUUAUUAACCUUUUCUGAUUGCUAAAUAUUGUAGGUAAAAAGAUGCCAAACCUCUGUACUGCUUAGUGGGGGGGGACACUGCAUAUCAAACCAGCUAUAUCUUCUUGCUUGUUUCUGUAGUCAGCCCUAAAGGAAAAGUGUUCAAAUCUUGUCUGACAGUUAUAUAGAUGGACCAGUGUAGCUCUUUACGUGAUGAGAAAUGACACGGUUUCUCACAGAGUAUUUAAAAAAAAUUGGCCAUAGCAAAUGGUUUGUGAAUUAGGAUUAGACCAUCAGUAAUAAAGUGGUUCAUUGCAUUAACGAGAGGCACCUACCUACUAUUUCUGGUAUUUGUUAGAAAGACUGUUUUUUUCCAUUGAGCAUUAUUUCUUUUCUUUCUGAUUUGAGCCUGAGCUAAGAACUUAUGUUCAGUGUCCUGAAGUGCCCCAGACAGUGGCCCUUGUAGGUACCUUGUUGAGCUUACUUGAUGAGAAAUGGAUAUGUAUGGUUUGUGUUAUCUUAGUCUCUUAUCUCCAGUUGCAGUUUUUAAUAAAAAUUUGAUCUUGUCUCAGGCAAGAGGUUUGGAUUA